AUUGGAUAUUUUGUGGGAAAAAUGUGAAAAUUUUCAGUUUAGAAAAUGGGACCCAAGAAGAAGCGAGCAAAAGUGAAGUAACGCAGCCUGAAAUAGCAGAGAGGAAGGAGGAGGAAGAAUUUGAUGAUUGUAGCAGCACUGGUAAGCCCUGCACAGACAGGGAGAAGUAUGCCUUCAAGCCGGCAGAAGGCACAGCACCCCGCCAGAGGGAUUUUCACAGCUAACGACGCCCAGAAGUGAAGACACUGCAAUCCAAUCAUCACUGUCAGACCAUUGUGCCAUGCUCAGUGAUGAGGAUGAGGACAAGGACAUCCUGACACCCCGUCCCACCACUCAGCAGGAGCAGGACAGCAGCUCAGAGUCAAAGUGUGUUUCAGUGCUCAAACUGUUGGGCUAUUUAGUUGGGAUUUUUUACAGUGUAAUAAAAUGUGUUAUUCCCUUAUA
Molecule: long non-coding RNA, 444 nt
Organism: Neoarius graeffei (lesser salmon catfish)
Lineage: Eukaryota; Metazoa; Chordata; Actinopteri; Siluriformes; Ariidae
Exons: 2
Source: RefSeq, a predicted model, not a curated record